This 882-nucleotide long non-coding RNA is filed under the name Setaria viridis. Its description in RNAcentral is "long non-coding RNA (SVIR_LNC011206)". The record is from RNAcentral. Lineage: Eukaryota; Viridiplantae; Streptophyta; Magnoliopsida; Poales; Poaceae.
CCUGGGUAAUGUAAGUGUGUGUUUAUUAGAUGUUAAUUUUAGCUCAUAUCAUUAUUUGUAUGUGUGUCUCCCUACUAACUUUGUCUUUUAUUUUAUAUAGGAUGCAAAUUUAGAGGUGCCAUCGAGAAUCAUACUUCAAUGUUGGCUUCAUGGAACCAGUGCUUGUUAACCAAGAUCAGAUUCGGGAUCACUCAAUGGAUACAUUGGACCGAAUAUACAAAUUCUUGGAGCAACAGAAUUACAAGCAAUAUAUACUACUGCCUUACAACUUUAAGUAAGUGUGGGUACCAUCAAUUUUCAUUUUCCUUUUCCUUACCUAAUUAAUUAAUGUUAGUUAGUUCUAAUAUGAACAUUUAUGUACACAGUUUCCACUGGAUUCUCCUUAUAAUUAUUAGAUUCUCCUUAUAAUUAUUGAGGGAUAUGGGAACCCCAUGGGUCCUCACCGACCAGGAUACUGGCUAGUCCUGACAAGUGGGCCUGCCUAACCAGAAUGUGCGGGCCAAGGACGUGAAAAUACUUGGAGCACAAGUCAAGGAGGCUGGGCGAUUCAAAUCAGCCCAGAUAUUUUGGGAUACUUAUUGUAAUCUGACUCAGAUUGCUUUCCAUGUAACUACCGACUAGGUUAGAUUCAAACCAACUUGUAACCCUAGGUCGUCAGCCUAUAUAGGGCGGCCAAGGGCACCUCCUGAGGGCAAUCCCAUCUAAACCCAUCACAUCCCAACUAUUCCACGCACCAGCGCAAAGCAAUACAAACCUCCAAAAUACAGGACGUAGGGUAUUACUCUCCGGAGGCCCAAACCUGUCUAACCCUUCGUGUUCUUGGUCUUGCAAUCCCCUCUCCCUACAAAUCAACCACUUGGGUAACCCCCUGGUGGACUGCCG